AGUGGCGAACGGGUGAGUAACACGUGAGUAACCUGCCCCUGACUUCGGGAUAACCACGAGAAAUCGUGGCUAAUACCGGAUAUGAGGUCUGCCCGCAUGGGUGGGUCUGGAAAGAUUUAUCGGUUGGGGAUGGGCUCGCGGCCUAUCAGCUUGUUGGUGGGGUGAUGGCCUACCAAGGCGACGACGGGUAGCCGGCCUGAGAGGGUGACCGGCCACACUGGGACUGAGACACGGCCCAGACUCCUACGGGAGGCAGCAGUGGGGAAUAUUGCACAAUGGGCGCAAGCCUGAUGCAGCGACGCCGCGUGAGGGAUGACGGCCUUCGGGUUGUAAACCUCUUUCAGUAGGGAAGAAGCCGCUUCGGUGGUGACGGUACCUGCAGAAGAAGCGCCGGCUAACUACGUGCCAGCAGCCGCGGUAAUACGUAGGGCGCAAGCGUUGUCCGGAAUUAUUGGGCGUAAAGAGCUCGUAGGCGGUUUGUCGCGUCUGCUGUGAAAACCUCAGGCUUAACCUGGGGCUUGCAGUGGGUACGGGCAGGCUAGAGUGCGGUAGGGGAGACUGGAAUUCCUGGUGUAGCGGUGGAAUGCGCAGAUAUCAGGAGGAACACCGGUGGCGAAGGCGGGUCUCUGGGCCGUUACUGACGCUGAGGAGCGAAAGCAUGGGGAGCGAACAGGAUUAGAUACCCUGGUAGUCCAUGCCGUAAACGUUGGGCACUAGGUGUGGGAUCCAUUCCACGGGUUCCGUGCCGCAGCUAACGCAUUAAGUGCCCCGCCUGGGGAGUACGGCCGCAAGGCUAAAACUCAAAGGAAUUGACGGGGGCCCGCACAAGCGGCGGAGCAUGCGGAUUAAUUCGAUGCAACGCGAAGAACCUUACCAAGGCUUGACAUACACCGGAAAAGUGCAGAGAUGUGCUCCCCGUAAGGUCGGUGUACAGGUGGUGCAUGGNUGUCGUCAGCUCGUGUCGUGAGAUGUUGGGUUAAGUCCCGCAACGAGCGCAACCCUCGUCCUGUGUUGCCAGCGGGUUAUGCCGGGGACUCAUGGGAGACUGCCGGGGUCAACUCGGAGGAAGGUGGGGAUGACGUCAAAUCAUCAUGCCCCUUAUGUCUUGGGCUUCACGCAUGCUACAAUGGCCGGUACAAAGGGCUGCGAAACCGUGAGGUGGAGCGAAUCCCAAAAAGCCGGUCUCAGUUCGGAUUGGGGUCUGCAACUCGACCCCAUGAAGUCGGAGUCGCUAGUAAUCGCAGAUCAGCAACGCUGCGGUGAAUACGUUCUCGGGCCUUGUACAC
Molecule: ribosomal RNA, 1286 nt
Filed under: Georgenia sp. ICU7
Lineage: Bacteria; Bacillati; Actinomycetota; Actinomycetes; Allobogoriellales; Allobogoriellaceae
Description: bacterial SSU rRNA
Rfam family: Bacterial small subunit ribosomal RNA
Source: RNAcentral